ACCUGUUCCUUGUCUAAGUGUUCUCACCUGUUACUCUUGUUAACUCCCUUUAUGUGUGUGCUCUUUCCCUCAUGUGUUGCCAGUUCGUUGAAUGUUGUGCUACUGUUUAAAUCUGUGCUACUUAGCUAGUUUCUUGUUACCUAAGUCUAUUGUGUUUUAUUUGUAGAAGUUUGUUAGUGCUUUAGUUCUGCCAUUGGUCCUGUCUGUCUUGUCUCCUGAGUCUCUAGUUCCAGUCCUGCUAGCAGAGCGUCCCUGGCUGCUUGCACUCUGUGCUUUGGUGCAAGCCUGGUGCUUAGCCUGAGAUCCCUGAGUGCCUUGCUGUUGUCCUUGGAGGUUCCUGUCUGGCUAUUGCUAGUACUCUCAGGUCUCUUUCUGCUCUGCAAACACUACUCUCCAGCCUACAGUCUUCUUGUGCUAGCUACAGCUGCUGCUCUGCAAGUUUUGCUGCAACGGCUGUCUUUGUGUCUCAUCCCUGCCUUUUGUCUGGACUGUUCACCUCUCCCACCACAUCUUGUCUACUGUUUGUCAAUAAACCUGUUAACACUC
Rhinichthys klamathensis goyatoka is the source of this 546-nucleotide long non-coding RNA. RefSeq lists it as uncharacterized. The record is from RefSeq and is a predicted model, not a curated record. Lineage: Eukaryota; Metazoa; Chordata; Actinopteri; Cypriniformes; Leuciscidae. The transcript has 2 exons.